AGAGUUUGAUCCUGGCUCAGAACGAACGCUGGCGGCAGGCUUAACACAUGCAAGUUGAACGGGAUUUGUGUGGUGCUUGCACCAUAUAAUGAGAGUAGCGCACUGGUGAGUAACACGUGGGAACGUACCUUUUGGUGGGGGACAACAUCUGGAAACGGAUGCUAAUACCGCAUAAGACCUGAGGGUGAAAGAUUUAUCGCCGAAAGAACGGCCCGCGGAAGAUUAGGCAGUUGGUGGGGUAAAGGCCUACCAAACCUACGAUCUAUAGCUGGUCUGAGAGGACGAUCAGCCACACUGGAACUGAGACACGGUCCAGACUCCUACGGGAGGCAGCAGUGAGGAAUAUUGGGCAAUGGAGGCAACUCUGACCCAGCCAUGCCGCGUGAGUGAAGAAGGUUUUCGGAUUGUAAAGCUCUUUCGGAUGUGACGAUGAUGACGGUAGCAUCUAAAGAAGCCCCGGCUAACUUCGUGCCAGCAGCCGCGGUAAUACGAAGGGGGCGAGCGUUGUUCGGAAUUACUGGGCGUAAAGGGUGUGUAGGCGGUUAUGUAAGAUAGCGGUGAAAUCCCGGGGCUUAACCUCGGAAUAGCCGUUAUAACUAUGUAGCUAGAGUUAUGGAGAGGAUAGCGGAAUACCCAGUGUAGAGGUGAAAUUCGUAGAUAUUGGGUAGAACACCGGUGGCGAAGGCGGCUAUCUGGCCAUAUACUGACGCUGAGGCACGAAAGCAUGGGGAUCAAACAGGAUUAGAUACCCUGGUAGUCCAUGCUGUAAACGAUGAAUGCUGGUUGUCGGCUUUAGGGUCGGUGACGAAGUUAACGCGAUAAGCAUUCCGCCUGGGGAGUACGGUCGCAAGAUUAAAACUCAAAGGAAUUGACGGGGACCCG
RNAcentral lists this ribosomal RNA (882 nucleotides) under bacterium. RNAcentral's name for it is "bacterial SSU rRNA". It matches the Rfam family "Bacterial small subunit ribosomal RNA", at positions 8 to 923 of the family's 1533-position model. The record is from RNAcentral.